Molecule: ribosomal RNA, 455 nt
Filed under: uncultured bacterium
Lineage: Bacteria
Description: bacterial SSU rRNA
Rfam family: Bacterial small subunit ribosomal RNA
Source: RNAcentral
UACGGAAGGCAGCAGUGGGGAAUAUUGCACAAUGGGCGCAAGCCUGAUGCAGCCAUGCCGCGUGUAUGAAGAAGGCCUUCGGGUUGUAAAGUACUUUCAGUCGUGAGGAAGGUGUUAAGGUUAAUAACCUUAGCAAUUGACGUUAGCGACAGAAGAAGCACCGGCUAACUCCGUGCCAGCAGCCGCGGUAAUACGGAGGGUGCGAGCGUUAAUCGGAAUUUACUGGGCGUAAAGGGCACGCAGGCGGUUAAUUAAGUUGGAUGUGAAAUCCCCGGGCUUAACCUGGGAAUGGCAUUCAAGACUGGUUAGCUAGAGUCUUGUAGAGGGGGUAGAAUUCCAUGUGUAGCGGUGAAAUGCGUAGAGAUGUGGAGGAAUACCGGUGGCGAAGGCGGCCCCUGGGACAAAGACUGACGCUCAUGUGCGAAAGCGUGGGGAGCAAACAGGGAUUAGAUACC